AUCCAGCUGACCAGCCUCAAAUAGAACGAUAUGCGCAUCCUGGAU
Trichobilharzia regenti is the source of this 45-nucleotide non-coding RNA. The record is from Rfam. NCBI's taxonomy places the organism in Eukaryota, Metazoa, Platyhelminthes, Trematoda, Strigeidida, Schistosomatidae.